RNAcentral lists this ribosomal RNA (242 nucleotides) under uncultured bacterium. RNAcentral's name for it is "partial 16S ribosomal RNA". It matches the Rfam family "Bacterial small subunit ribosomal RNA", at positions 15 to 246 of the family's 1533-position model. The record is from RNAcentral.
GAUCAUGGCUCAGGAUAGAACGCUAGCUACAGGCUUAACACAUGCAAGUCGGAGGGGCAGCAUGAACUUAGCUUGCUAAGUUUGAUGGCGACCGGCGCACGGGUGAGUAACACGUAUCCAACCUGCCGAUGACUCGGGGAUAGCCUUUCGAAAGAAAGAUUAAUACCCGAUGGCAUAGUUCUUCCGCAUGGUAGAACUAUUAAAGAAUUUCGGUCAUCGAUGGGGAUGCGUUCCAUUUAGGG